UUUACUUUUUUUUAUAAGAAAUUGUUAAAGGAUGCAUUGGAGUAGAUGGUACUGUAGAAAACAAUAAAGGUCCAGAAUUGAGAAUUUCAUAGAAUGUCAGGGACCUAAUGCUAAUAUCUUCUCCAACUGUUGAUAAGGAAGGCUUUUGAUUGAAUGGGAAAAAAACAAAAGUCACCAAACCAAUGGCGAGUCGCUGGAAGAGUAUUGUAGUAUCCAUUAUUUCUCUGCUUGCUGCUCUCAUGUUUCUGCUGGCCGGAUUGCAAUCAUCCACACCUUAUUCUCCACGAAGUAUGUAACUUCCUCUGCUUCUCUUUUCUUAUCCUCUUCCUUUGUCUGUGUGUCGUCGACUCGCUUGCUCUGUUUAUGGUGUACAAGAUUGCUGUAAACCUGUUGGUGUUUCCCAUUAGGACCCUCCUCGCGUUUUCCGGCUCGGCCAAGCAAGUCAAGUCCAGGAACUCAUGGAUGAUUUUGAUCCAUAAACGAAGAGAGUUGGACACUUACAGAGUUACAGUGAAUGAAAUGGGCAGCUCUGCUUUUGUUAUGUUUGGUUCCUUUCUUAACAUUUGAUGUUGUCUUUGUACCUGAACUAGUUGUGAUUGUAAUGUUUCCUCUGCCUUUUGCUUGCAGCAUUACCAAUCCUGACAUUUGUUUUGUUAGUAGGUUUAGUUAAAUGAAUUCCUAUCAAACGUCAUAUGGUUUGUUUAAUACAGUUUUUUAUCGAAUAGGUCGUUUUAAUUUUUAGAUCA
Molecule: long non-coding RNA, 746 nt
Filed under: Linum usitatissimum (flax)
Lineage: Eukaryota; Viridiplantae; Streptophyta; Magnoliopsida; Malpighiales; Linaceae
Description: long non-coding RNA (LUSI_LNC004954)
Source: RNAcentral